Molecule: long non-coding RNA, 1081 nt
Organism: Perca flavescens (yellow perch)
Lineage: Eukaryota; Metazoa; Chordata; Actinopteri; Perciformes; Percidae
Exons: 3
Source: RefSeq, a predicted model, not a curated record
UUAAUAGUAAUUAGGAGAUAGUGUAUUGCUUGCGUCUCUACAGAGUUGCUAGAGUGCUGUUUUCUUUCGAGGAUCUGGCUCAAAAACCCUUCCAGCUGAGCAGUGGUCUUUCAAACCUCUAACCCACCCACCAUGCCACUUCACUUGGCACCUCCUCCUCCUCUUACCUGACCCCAGGGACUGCUGCCAAAUGCCAGGGUGUCUGAGAUUAUUUGCAGAAGGGACAGGAAGUGGUCGUCGUCAUAGCUGAAGCGUUGACCAAACACCAAGCAGCAGAUCACGUUGGACACGGAGCAGCUCAAGAAUUCAUAGAAGACUGGUUAUGAUACACAUAUAUCGUCAUGGUAUUACCAUAGCCCUUGGUAACUCUCAUCAACAAAGGAACAGGUGCUCUGCCAGUGAAGUCGUCUGCUUGGUCUACCAGGGCCUCCUUCACAGCAUCAUACCCCACCAGGACCACGGCGCGCUGAGGGCCCAGCAGGUUUCCUAUGAUUGGCAGAGCCAGCGGUCCUGGAGGUAAACAGAUGUGUUUACGACUGUUCAGCCUAAAUAGCCACAUCAAAGCCAUGCUAAGCCCCGCUAAAAUCAACGUGACAGACAACUCCAUGACGCAACACGAAAAUAAUACAAACGUUGUCCUCUGCAGUUGACUACACUAAAUGUCUAAAUCUGUGAAGAGAUCAACUGUGCAACUGCGUAGGCUGCUGCAUGCAACCUCCUGUCGAGCAGUCAAACUUCUGGACUUUUGCUGAAUUUCAUGUUGAUUUGCGGAAGCAGGAGAGGAAUCAGGUUACCUGGAAUGUAACUCCCGUUCUGUGAGUAGGAGCCAUAGACAAUAUAUAGGAGCCGAGCACAGCCUGUCCAGUCUCUGCAGCACAGUCUGGGAUUUGGACCUUGGACCAUUAAUAUUAACAGUCUAUGCCUUGGACCGAGCAGUGCACUAACAGGAUCUCAGUUGUUUCCAAGUUAUGAAUUUAAAACAUAAACAUCUGGGUAAUAAUCUGCAUUAGCUACUCUGGAUUUUUGCUUUGCUGUUGUGUUUUGUGAAAUGUAGAAGUGUUUUGUGAAAUGUAGAUUUGUU